UACGGAGGGGUUAGCGUUGUUCGGAAUACUGGCGUAAAGCGCGCGUAGGCGGAUUAGUCAGUUAGAGGUGAAAUCCCAGGGCUCAACCCUGGAACUGCCUUUAAUACUGCUAGUCUUGAGUUCGAGAGAGGUGAGUGGAAUUCCGAGUGUAGAGGUGAAAUUCGUAGAUAUUCGGAGGAACACCAUGGCGAAGGCGGCUCACUGGCUCGAUACUGACGCUGAGGUGCGAAAGUGUGGGGAGCAAACAGGAUUAGAUACCCG
RNAcentral lists this ribosomal RNA (261 nucleotides) under uncultured bacterium. RNAcentral describes it as "partial 16S ribosomal RNA". It matches the Rfam family "Bacterial small subunit ribosomal RNA", at positions 524 to 788 of the family's 1533-position model. The record is from RNAcentral.